GACGUAGGAGGCGAGCGUUAUCCGGAUUCACUGGGCGUAAAGCGCAUGUAGGCGGAUGUCUAAGUCGUGUGUUAAAGCCCCUGGCUCAACUGGGGGAGGUCAUGCGAGACUGGAUGACUUGAGGGCAACAGAGGCACGUGGAACUCCCGGUGUAGCGGUGGAAUGCGUAGAGAUCGGGAAGAACACCCGUGGCGAAGGCGGCGUGCUGGGUUGCAACUGACGCUGAGAUGCGAAAGUGUGGGGAGCAAACGGG
RNAcentral lists this ribosomal RNA (253 nucleotides) under uncultured bacterium. RNAcentral describes it as "partial 16S ribosomal RNA". It matches the Rfam family "Bacterial small subunit ribosomal RNA", at positions 524 to 776 of the family's 1533-position model. The record is from RNAcentral. RNAcentral also lists the same sequence under 1 other name.